AUUGAACGCUGGCGGCAGGCCUAACACAUGCAAGUCGAACGGUAACAGGAAGAAGCUUGCUUCUUUGCUGACGAGUGGCGGACGGGUGAGUCAUGUCUGGGAAACUGCCUGCUGGAGGGGGAUAACUACUGGAAACGGUAGCUAAUACCGCAUAACGUCGCAAGACCAAAGAGGGGGACCUACGGGCCUCUGGCCAUCGGAUGUGCCCAGAUGGGAUUAGCUAGUAGGUGGGGUAACGGCUCACCUAGGCGACGAUCCCUAGCUGGUCUGAGAGGAUGACCAGCCACACUGGAACUGAGACACGGUCCAGACUCCUACGGGAGGCAGCAGUGGGGAAUAUUGCACAAUGGGCGAAAGCCUGAUGCAGCCAUGCCGCGUGUAUGAAGAAGGCCUUCGGGUUGUAAAGUACUUUCAGCGGGGAGGAAGGGAGUAAAGUUAAUACCUUUGCUCAUUGACGUUACCCGCAGAAGAAGCACCGGCUAACUCCGUG
This 490-nucleotide ribosomal RNA is filed under the name uncultured bacterium. Its description in RNAcentral is "partial 16S ribosomal RNA". It matches the Rfam family "Bacterial small subunit ribosomal RNA", at positions 30 to 507 of the family's 1533-position model. The record is from RNAcentral.